UUGAUAGAUUUGAGGACUUCAACUUGCAAAUUUAGCAAAUUUGGAGAUUUCAGUUUGCAGACUUGAUGAAUUUGACGAUUUCAACU
This 86-nucleotide microRNA precursor is filed under the name Capsicum annuum. Its description in RNAcentral is "MIR8024 microRNA precursor family". It matches the Rfam family "MIR8024 microRNA precursor family". Lineage: Eukaryota; Viridiplantae; Streptophyta; Magnoliopsida; Solanales; Solanaceae. The record is from Rfam by way of RNAcentral.